Molecule: unclassified non-coding RNA, 433 nt
Filed under: soil metagenome
Description: partial contains 5.8S ribosomal RNA, internal transcribed spacer 2, and large subunit ribosomal RNA
Rfam family: 5.8S ribosomal RNA (bases 1-120)
Source: RNAcentral
GAUGAAGAAGGUAGCGAAAUGCGAUACGUAAUGUGAAUUGCAGAAUUCAGUGAAUCAUCGAAUCUUUGAACGCAUAUUGCGCUCUCUGGUAUUCCGGAGAGCAUGCUUGUUUGAUUAUCAGUAAACACCUCAACUUCCAUAUCUUUUUUGAAAUGGGAGUUGGACUUGAGUGAUCCCAACGCUUUUCCUCACCGAAAAGUGGCGGGUUACUUGAAAUGCAGGUGCAGCUGGACUUUUCUCUGAGCUAUAAGCAUAUCUAUUUAGUCUGCCUAAAAAACAGAUUAUUACCUUUGCUGCAGCUAACAUAAAGGAGAUUAGUUCUUGUGCUGACUGAUGCAGGAUUCACAAAGACAGGCUUCGGCCGACUUUGUAAACUCGAUCUCAAAUCAAGUAAGACUACCCGCUGAACUUAAGCAUAUCAAUAAGCGGAGGA